UGGGGAGUGGUCGAGUGGUAAGACGUCUGGCUCUGGACCAGAAGAGCCCAGGUUCGAAUCCUGGCUCCCCAGCCA
This 75-nucleotide transfer RNA is filed under the name candidate division CPR3 bacterium. Its description in RNAcentral is "tRNA-Gln". It matches the Rfam family "tRNA". From Rfam's summary of the family: Transfer RNA (tRNA) molecules are approximately 80 nucleotides in length. The record is from RNAcentral. Lineage: Bacteria; candidate division CPR3.